RNAcentral lists this unclassified non-coding RNA (269 nucleotides) under Tremellales sp. Its description in RNAcentral is "partial contains 5.8S ribosomal RNA, internal transcribed spacer 2, and large subunit ribosomal RNA". The record is from RNAcentral. Lineage: Eukaryota; Fungi; Basidiomycota; Tremellomycetes; Tremellales.
CGCACCUUGCGCCCUGUGGUAUUCCGCAGGGCAUGCCUGUUUGAGUGUCAUGUAACUCCCAACCCCGUGGUUUUGCGACUGCGGAGUGUUGGAUGUGGGCGCUGCGGUGUGAAGCCGCUCGCCUUGAAUGUGUUAGUGGGAUGUGCGAGCCCGAUGGCGUAAUAAGUUUCGCUUGAGGGUGCAGGACGGACCGCUCAUAACGUGGCUGGCGCUUGCUGGCCUCUUCAUGAUCUGACCUCAAAUCAGGUAGGACUACCCGCUGAACUUAA